GGAUUGUGGUUCAGUGACAGAGCGCUUGCCUUGCACGUAUGAGGCACUGGGUUCAAUCCUCAGCACCA
RNAcentral lists this transfer RNA (68 nucleotides) under Marmota monax (woodchuck). RNAcentral's name for it is "tRNA.Ala". The record is from RNAcentral. Lineage: Eukaryota; Metazoa; Chordata; Mammalia; Rodentia; Sciuridae.